Molecule: ribosomal RNA, 510 nt
Filed under: uncultured Glomeromycotina
Lineage: Eukaryota; Fungi; Glomeromycota
Description: SSU rRNA
Rfam family: Eukaryotic small subunit ribosomal RNA
Source: RNAcentral
AGCAGCCGCGGUAAUUCCAGCUCCAAUAGCGUAUAUUAAAGUUGUUGCAGUUAAAAAGCUCGUAGUUGAACUUCAGGCCUGGCUGGACGGUCCGCCUUCCGGGCGAGCACUGUCUGUGGUCGGUCCUACCUUCUGGCGAAGCGUCAUGGCCUUAACCGGCUGUGGCGGGGAACCAGGACUUUUACUGUGAAAAAUUAGAGUGUUCAAAGCAGGCAAUUCGCUUGGAUACAUUAGCAUGGAAUAAUGGAAUAGGACAAUGGUUCUAUUUGUUGGUUUCUAGGACUGUUGUAAUGAUUAAUAGGGAUAGUUGGGGGCAUUAGUAUUCAAUUGUCAGAGGUGAAAUUCUUGGAUUUAUUGAAGACUAACUACUGCGAAAGCAUUUGCCAAGGAUGUUUUCAUUAAUCAAGAACGAAAGUUAGGGGAUCGAAGACGAUCAGAUACCGUCGUAGUCUUAACCAUAAACUAUGCCGACUAGGAAUCGGGCGAUGUUGACAAAAUGACGCGCUCGGA